RNAcentral lists this ribosomal RNA (314 nucleotides) under uncultured bacterium. Its description in RNAcentral is "bacterial SSU rRNA". It matches the Rfam family "Bacterial small subunit ribosomal RNA", at positions 1226 to 1532 of the family's 1533-position model. The record is from RNAcentral.
UACAAUGGCUAUAACAGCAGGGAGCUAAGGAGUAAUCCGGAGCAAAUCCUCAAAAAUAGUCCCAGUUCGAAUUGUGGGCUGAAACUCGCCCACAUGAAGUCGGAAUUGCUAGUAAUGGCAGGUCAGCAUACUGCCGUGAAUACGUUCCCGGGCCUUGUACACACCGCCCGUCACACCAUGAGAGUCUGCAACACCCGAAGUCAGUAGUUUAACUUAUCAAUCGAUGAGAGAGCGCUGCCGAAGGUGGGGCCGAUGAUUAGGGUGAAGUCGUAACAAGGUAGCCGUAUCGGAAGGUGCGGCUGGAUCACCUCCUU